Felis catus (domestic cat) is the source of this 820-nucleotide long non-coding RNA. RefSeq lists it as uncharacterized. Lineage: Eukaryota; Metazoa; Chordata; Mammalia; Carnivora; Felidae. The transcript is spliced from 2 exons. The record is from RefSeq and is a predicted model, not a curated record.
CAACCUUCUCACUUGUACAAUGGAGACAGAAUAUGUCCCUUGCACCGUGAUGUGCCCACUCGCCGGCCGGGCACGGAAGAAGAGCACUUCGAGGUGGACCUCACUCCCAAACCUCUGUUAACAGCGAACUUGGACAGGGAGCGCCUCCCAAGCCCAGUCUUCCAAAUGUCUUCCCGAGCCAGCACGCUCAGCCCCCUGCAAGUGCGCCGAACUGCUGGUGGAGACAGACGUCUGAGCCGCAGGUAGACCAGAGGCUUCGAAAGUGGUACCAUGAGGCCAUCUUUCCAGUCUUGGAGCAUGGGCGAGUAGCCUUCUCCAUCCCUGAGAGGUUAAAAAAGAGACCGGACUCCCAGUGUAAACUCACCAAGGGGUGAAGACCCAGACUGGAUUAGGGCAAUGGUGAAUGUGAGAACCGUCUGUCGCAAAGGACAGACUGUGUCUCCAUAUACCCUGCCUCUUGCUCUGGGCCCUACACUGCCCACUUCUAUCCACAGGACAGUGUGACAUUCCAUUUUCCCACACUAAUUGUGGGCAGCCAAGAAGACUUGGGUCAGAAGGGACUUCAAACCUGCUUAAUGUAACCCCAGUAUCCACAGCUCUGUCACAUCGUCUCCAUUGGCAGGGGGCAUCUCCCUUCUGCUGGAAGACUACUGACAAGAAACUCACCAUCUGUCCAAAUCUCUUUGGACGGUCCUGCUGUAAAGUGGGCUGGUCUCCUACUUCCUCAAGCUAAUCUCAAACUUCCUUCGUUACUCAAGGUCCUUGUGUUCUUCCCAAACCAAUUAAAUUCUGUUUAACUUUGGGCAAGUUUCUUAACCUC